GCCCCCCAACAUCAAACCCAGGCAGCCCCUUCUCAGUCCCCAGGCUUCCUAAUAAGUCGUCCAAGUUCCUGUCUAACCCUGCAACCUGCCUCUGACUACCUCCCCAGGUAUCCUGUUCCUUACUCCCCCAGCUUGCCGCCUUUUCCUCUGUCCCUGAUCUGGGAGGUGUGGCAUUUCUGUUAUGCUAGGGAAAGGGAAGAUGGGACUCCUCUGAGAACUGAGGCGUUGUUUGCUCAGUCUGAGCCUGGUGACCCAGAGCAGUCUGAACUUGCUAACUUCGUGGUGCCUGGAAGAAAUCUCAAGAGAGCCAGUGACCCUUUCCCCCCUCCUCAUCAAACCUAAUUUCCCAGUAGCCCAUCCUUUCUUCUUGGUCUUGCUCCCCUCUUACUCCACCCUGGCUCAGCCUACAAUCCCCCUUUCCCCCUGCCCUUCCCCUUCCUCCCUAUGUCCCUGUCCCUCCCCUUCUCCUCCAGUUCCUAUGUCACCCACAUCCUCCCAUCCUCCUCUACUCUCUUCUUCUCACUUUUCUCCCCCUUCCCCCUCAUUCUCUUCUACUCUUCACCUUGAUCCCCCACCUCCUAUGCCAGUGACUUUCACAGACAUGGCUGUGUAUUUUGGAGAUGUCAUGUGGGAGAGCUACCGGAACCUCAUCUCGUUGGGUGAGUAACUCCCCCCACCACCAAAAAAAAUAAGAAAUACCACCCUGAUUCUGACAUUCAUUCUAUCAGGGGCACUGAAUUAAUUUAAAUGUUAAGCUGGAAGGUAGUGUCUCUGAAUGCCCUGCAUAGAAUGCCAGCAUUUUACACCCCUCCUAGAGGUCCUUAGCCCUCUCCUCUCUAUUCACCCUCAAGCAUCCUGCUUCCCCAUCUCCUGAGUCUUCCUGAAGCCAGCAAUCAGAUAUUUAUCAAGCACUUUUAAUUUGCAAGUAUUUGUGCUAGAUGCAGAGGUUGCAAGAACACACCAAAAAGGUGCCUUAUUGCCCAUUUGGGGAGAUGAGACCUACGGAAGCAGACAGUACAGUGAAAUGUAUGCUAAAUCCCAUCUGAUAGACAGUAAGUGCGGGAUUCCUGAGGAAUAAAGCACAGCAAUCUUGAGUGGUCA
This 1101-nucleotide long non-coding RNA is filed under the name Phascolarctos cinereus (koala). Its description in RNAcentral is "lncRNA (ENSPCIG00000033525.1)". Lineage: Eukaryota; Metazoa; Chordata; Mammalia; Diprotodontia; Phascolarctidae. The record is from RNAcentral.